Molecule: ribosomal RNA, 168 nt
Filed under: uncultured rumen bacterium
Lineage: Bacteria
Description: partial 16S ribosomal RNA
Rfam family: Bacterial small subunit ribosomal RNA
Source: RNAcentral
UACGGGAGGCAGCAGUGGGGGAUAUUGCGCAAUGGGGGCAACCCUGACGCAGCAACGCCGCGUGAAGGAUGAAGGUUUUCGGAUUGUAAACUUCUUUUGUUAGGGACGAAAUUUGACGGUACCUAACGAAUAAGCUCCGGCUAACUACGUGCCAGCAGCCGCGGUAAU